UGGACCAAUGUUGAGAGUCAUCAUGAACAAAGGGUUAUAAUUAAUCCAAAUCUGUGUACCUGAGGUCUAUU
RNAcentral lists this small nucleolar RNA (71 nucleotides) under Loxodonta africana (African savanna elephant). Its description in RNAcentral is "Small nucleolar RNA SNORD112 (ENSLAFG00000032839.1)". Lineage: Eukaryota; Metazoa; Chordata; Mammalia; Proboscidea; Elephantidae. The record is from RNAcentral.